Molecule: ribosomal RNA, 844 nt
Filed under: uncultured bacterium
Lineage: Bacteria
Description: bacterial SSU rRNA
Rfam family: Bacterial small subunit ribosomal RNA
Source: RNAcentral
AGAGUUUGAUCCUGGCUCAGGACGAACGCUGGCGGCGUGCCUAACACAUGCAAGUCGAACGGAACUUCUUUAAUUGAUUUCUUCGGAAUGAUUUUGAUUAAGUUUAGUGGCGGACGGGUGAGUAACGCGUGAGUAACCUGCCUCUAAGAGGGGAAUAACAUUCUGAAAAGAAUGCUAAUACCGCAUAAUAUAUAUUUAUCGCAUGGUAGAUAUAUCAAAGAUUUAUCGCUCAGAGAUGGACUCGCGUCCGAUUAGUUAGUUGGUGGGGUAACGGCUCACCAAGACCGCGAUCGGUAGCCGGACUGAGAGGUUGAACGGCCACAUUGGGACUGAGACACGGCCCAGACUCCUACGGGAGGCAGCAGUGGGGGAUAUUGCGCAAUGGGGGAAACCCUGACGCAGCAACGCCGCGUGAAGGAUGAAGGUCUUCGGAUUGUAAACUUCUUUUAUUAAGGACGAAGAAAGUGACGGUACUUAAUGAAUAAGCUCCGGCUAACUACGUGCCAGCAGCCGCGGUAAUACGUAGGGAGCAAGCGUUGUCCGGAUUUACUGGGUGUAAAGGGUGCGUAGGCGGCUUUGCAAGUCAGAUGUGAAAUCUAUGGGCUCAACCCAUAGCCUGCAUUUGAAACUGCAGAGCUUGAGUGAAGUAGAGGCAGGCGGAAUUCCCCGUGUAGCGGUGAAAUGCGUAGAGAUGGGGAGGAACACCAGUGGCGAAGGCGGCCUGCUGGGCUUUAACUGACGCUGAGGCACGAAAGCGUGGGUAGCAAACAGGAUUAGAUACCCUGGUAGUCCACGCUGUAAACGAUGAUUACUAGGGGGUGGGGGGGUCUGAACCCCUUCCGUG